This is a long non-coding RNA of Triticum urartu, 3069 nucleotides long. RefSeq lists it as uncharacterized. Lineage: Eukaryota; Viridiplantae; Streptophyta; Magnoliopsida; Poales; Poaceae. The record is from RefSeq and is a predicted model, not a curated record.
CUUCCUCUCGAUCUCAUCUGGACAUCCAGCCCCGCCCCGCCCCUCACAGCCGUCCGCCGCCGCCUCCUACCCCGCCACCGCGCCUACCCCUACACCAAGUGCCAACACACUCGCACCCAUCCACUACCGGGGACCCGCGGCCUUCUACCGCCGGUGGCACUCGACGUCGCGGCCAUUGGCGGCUCCCCGACCUUGCUACCAUGGCGCCUCCGGGACUCCUCCCCGCUGCUUCCACCUUGACAUUGGUUUCCCCAACACCGCUGGCUUCGCCACUAGCCACUCCUAGGCACACUCUAUCUGCCGUCGGACCCAUCCGCCUGGUUCCAAUGGUGAACAUCGCCACCACCCUAUUGUGAGGCGAGGUGAUGUUCUUCGAACUGCCGGCUUGAUUCUGCCUAGCUGAAUAAUAAUGGAAGAAAAAGGAGUAGAGGCUUUACCUAAUGUACCUACAGCAACAAUGGGUUGCCCCACCAAACAUCACUAGAGGACUAGGAAGGGAAACGGUGAUUUCUCAAUCAGGUUCUAUUGGCCGUUCUAGCAUUAGCAUCAUGAAGAUUCUGGAACAGUGCACGACGCCCAAUCCCAAGGUCUUCCCUUAGCUGGUGAAGCACAUGAGCCGGUGUCAAGCAAUAUCCCCCGUAUACUUUGUCCUUGUGUUCUUUCCAGGUAUGCAUCCAUAUCAGCUGCAUCAGGGAGCUCCAUUCACAGUGGUACUACUUCCGAACGUGUAGAACAUGCAAUUGUAUGUAAAUCGCCUUGAAAUGAUGGUUGCUGAAUACUGCAUUAUGCUUGAUAGUCGUCUACCUGGACGACUUCAAGCGCUAAUAGGUAAAUCCUUUUAGAUUUUGUAGUUCUUUUCAGUACAGAGAUAAUUCUGUUUCUUGCUUCCCAAUUUUUGGACGACAAAACAGAGAGGCUUUACAUUAUAAAAGUUACAGUAAUAGAUUAUAAAUAAGAAAAUAAGGUCCAAGCCAGACUCCAACUUAUAAAGGUUUUGUCUUUCACGUAAGGGGAUAUCAUACUUCAUCUAAUCAUGGUUGUCGUGUAACCUAAUGAUGGUUAGUUACUACUCCCUCCGUUCCUAAAUACUUGUCUUUCUAGCCAUUUCAACAAGUGACUACAUACGGAGCAAAAUGAGUGAAUCUACACUCUAAAAUAUGUCUACAUACAUCCGUAUGUAGUAGUCAUUUGAAAUGUCUAGAAAGACAAAUAUUUAGGAACGGAGGGAGUACAUCCAUAGAGAAAAUGAACAUGGAGAUAUUCUCAUGUCCAUAGUUUCCAGCGAUGAGAAUGGGCUACCCGGCAUUGCUCGGCUGCUGAAACUGAGCAAACUUUGUGUAGUUAUUCAUGGUAGAAAUUCCUACUUAAAUUAUCUAUUUCGCCAGAUUGAGAAACUGCAUACAUGCCUUCGUCAAUGCGCAAUCGAACAGCCGUCAGGUGGUGAUGAGAGGACUACUAAAAGCAAGGGAAACACACUUAAGUUUGCUAUCCACAGUUUCUUCAGAAUCUAAAUACCAGUGGCAUCACAAGUGGGCUUCUCAAUUAAUCCAAAAGAUCCAUCAGGUUGCAAAGAUAAAAACAAUGAACAGAACAUAUCUGAAAGCGGCCCAAGCAUCCUCUACUACUUUCGUUUAGAUGUUAUUUAUCUUGCUCUGUGUUGACAUAUUUUCUUCUUCCGUAGAUGCAAAGCAUCCAGGAUGUGAUCAAUCAUAUGCUGGAGAAUGGCAUUGAGACCUUAGUUCACUGGAUAAUGGCAUUUAUAUGCGAUUCCAGUCCUUUCACAGUGCAGGUGAACUGGAAAUUCUAUCAAAGACAACUGUCCUUUCUUUAGUGUACAUGCAUGAUAUUACAUGAUUAAACAUACCAUUUUUAACUUCAUUUAGUUGUCUAUAUUAUUCUCUAUGUGCUAUUACCAACAAAAAUAGUGUUACCUCCGUACCAGGCCUUCCAAAUAUCUUAUAUUUUGGUACGGAGGUAGUACUUUUAGCCUGCAAAGCGACUUCUAUGCCCAUUGUGGCAAUAAUGUGUUUGCACCACUGAAGAGAUAACUUAUUUUUUUUCAUUGUAAGAAACACAUCAUGUUUCUUCCCCAUCAUUUAAGUGUGUGCCAUGUUAUCUUUGUUCAUGUUGCUGGCUGUACAUUUUCAGUAUUCUCAGGAUAUAUCUGAUUAUGAUGAUGUUCCGUACUGCUCUAGAGCCGACAACUUUUUGGACUGCUCGAUGUUUAUAACCAAUGAGACUACUUUUUUGGUUGUUGGCUGGAGCUAUCACUAUGACUGAAAUUUUCUUUCCACCCAAGUAAAUUUAUAUGGUCAUCAAAAACCAACGACAGGUCAACACUUGUCAGCAGUUUGCAAUUUGUAUUACAGUAUGCCUAAGCCAAUGUUCAGACAAUGUUGUUUUAGUUAGGAAAUGUAGAAAACAUGGUCAUGAUUUAUGUAGAUUGGACAGUCCCUUCAAACUGCAGUCUUUGAUCUAGAGUGGACAAUCUAACUAUAUGUUUCCUUUUAGAAAAUGACUAUAUGUUCCAUGAAUUCACUGCUUAUUUUGGCCAGAUCAGAUUAAACUAGGUCUUGAUUUCAAGGUUCAGUUAAGGCAGUUGGUGCAGGUUUGUUUGCUGUAAUACUAACUGUGCUAUUUAGACAGAGACAUUUGCUCUUUCUCAUUCCUCGACAUUUUCCUUUGCUACCAAGAUUUUUCAUUCUAGGUUGUGGAAAACGCAUGUCGCGUUCCUUCUACAAGUCGUCAUGAGCUGGGACAUAGAAGAAGAGAGCCGACGAGAAGUCGCAAAGCGGUUCGCUCCGGUGUCGCUGCCAAUGGCGCUGCACAAAGUGCAGAUUGCAGGCUAGAUGCGUACAAGUCCGUCCCUACUUCCACGACGUGGAAGCAAAGGAAAUUUAGUCAAUUAGAUAGUAUUUUUGGUUAUGAAAGUUAUCUUUUGUGUAUGCAGUUUUGCCAUCAUUUUGUAAAAGCUUUGAGUUUUUUAUAAUGUAAUUGUCUUACUAAUCACACUUUUAAUUGAUUUGUGCCAAGGCUAAUAGCCAAGUUAUGCACAAACUGUUCAUGUUU